RNAcentral lists this long non-coding RNA (1646 nucleotides) under Triticum aestivum (bread wheat). RNAcentral describes it as "long non-coding RNA (TAES_LNC007126)". Lineage: Eukaryota; Viridiplantae; Streptophyta; Magnoliopsida; Poales; Poaceae. The record is from RNAcentral.
UCACACGACCUUACCCCGUAUGGAUCUCACUGCGAAAGGGUAAAUCUUGCUAGCAAUACCAACAUAGCAAGGAAAAAGAAAUGAUCAAUGCAAAAAAUGCCAAUCGAUGCCAUCUUAGCAGCAUCUCCACUAUCGAUCAACUCCCCAAAUGGAGUCCAGGUAUAAUCGCACGACACAACCAAAAGGGCAAUUCUUAAUGUCUAAUGUCUGGAGAUACUCUUCACUGGUUUUAAUUGUCUUUCUACUCAUUUCAGUAAAGAUUGUUCCACAUGAACUAUCAGAGACCGCGACAUCUGACCGUAACAGGACCUCAUCAACAGAAAAAGGGGCAUUUUAAACAGAAAAAGGAGAAAAAAGAAAAGGAAAGUACAUCACUCCCAGCCUGACGGACUGCAUGAUAGUCGGAUGGGACGAAAGAAAUUGACUGUCAAGGAAUGUACCCGUCUGCACCUGCCUGCACCCGGCACAACCAUCGCCUUCACCACUGCUGCAUCGCCUCCGAAAUCCUUGGUGAAGAUUCUGAAGCAAAUAGGAGAACUAAUGAGUAAGCCAAAUGAAAAAUCAAAGAGAGAUUAUCUCUACAAAGCAGAUGAUAUGGGAAAACAGGACCAACUGCAAGUAGAGGAAAAAUCACAAGUAACAGUUAAAAGCGUCUACAAAUUAACAGCUACUCCCUCCGUUCCAAAAUAGAUGACCCAACUUUAUACUAAAGUUUGUACAAAGUGGAGUCAUCUAUUUUGGAACGGAGGGAGUAGGUAGUAUGAUGCUCCUAAUUAAGUAAUAAUAGGAAGACGUAUAAGUAAGUAUUGAUCAUUCAUUUGUUCCUAAUCAAAAUAAUCUGUGUGAAAGUUUUUGAGCUACGACUUAAAUUUGUUCUGACAAACAUGAUAGUAGAGAUUCAUGCAUUUUCAAAGGACAUGAUAAACAUAACAUGGAGAGAGAUUAUCCUAUACCUAAAUCAGAGGCCCAUAGUUCUGAAGAAAUUCUCCUACACCUAAAUCAGAGACCGUAGUCCUGAACAAAUUAUCCGACACCUUGUAUUUCACUACAGUUACAAACUGGGUGUUUUGAUGUGAGAUUCACUCAGAGUGAACAAUGGAUAUUAAGUGAUCUGGUUUACUACUAAACAGUUGGAUCAAUGCUCAAAUCUAAAGUUUGCUAUGGGUGUAAAACAGAGAACAACCGUGGAUCACUUAAUUCACUCCUUGCGGCGUACCUACCAGCGUCGUGGCGCAGACCUCUGGUCCCUCCUGAGCAUGGCCUCCUGCUAGCCAUGCCGAUGCAGGCAUCCCUGUGCAUCUCACCGCGCACUUGCUCCUGUCCAAAUUACAGCAGUUGCUGCUGGAACCCACAAGCGCACGACGAUGAGAAUUGAAACAAAGCAAACAAGCAGAGUGGGAGGAGGACGGGGCGUACACGGAGGCGGGGCCAUUCCGACGUUGUGGCAGUCUAGGAGCCCGACGGGGGCGUGGCGACCUGUGUGCCGUGGGCAGCCAUCAGGAACGUCGAGCCGCGACGCGGCCUGUUGGCGCCGGAUCCCCAGCAGCGUCACAAUCGCCGGCCCAUCCAUCCCCGCCACCGCGUGCCGUCCUCCACCUCCUGCCCCCUCGAUACAUCAAUUUGAUCUCCUCAAUAUAGCCGCGGAG